AGUCGAACGAGAUCUUCGGAUCUAGUGGCGCACGGGUGCGUAACGCGUGGGAAUCUGCCCUUGGGUUCGGAAUAACGUCGGGAAACUGACGCUAAUACCGGAUGAUGACGAAAGUCCAAAGAUUUAUCGCCCAGGGAUGAGCCCGCGUAGGAUUAGCUAGUUGGUGAGGUAAAGGCUCACCAAGGCUACGAUCCUUAGCUGGUCUGAGAGGAUGAUCAGCCACACUGGGACUGAGACACGGCCCAGACUCC
This 251-nucleotide ribosomal RNA is filed under the name uncultured Sphingobium sp. Its description in RNAcentral is "partial 16S ribosomal RNA". It matches the Rfam family "Bacterial small subunit ribosomal RNA", at positions 60 to 339 of the family's 1533-position model. The record is from RNAcentral. Lineage: Bacteria; Pseudomonadati; Pseudomonadota; Alphaproteobacteria; Sphingomonadales; Sphingobiaceae.